Molecule: ribosomal RNA, 375 nt
Filed under: uncultured bacterium
Lineage: Bacteria
Description: bacterial SSU rRNA
Rfam family: Bacterial small subunit ribosomal RNA
Source: RNAcentral
UAAUACGUAGGGUGCAAGCGUUAAUCGGAAUUACUGGGCGUAAAGCGUGCGCAGGCGGUUCCGCAAGUCAGAUGUGAAAUCCCCGGGCUCAACCUGGGAACUGCAUUUGAAACUACGGGGCUAGAGUGUGUCAGAGGGGGGUGGAAUUCCACGUGUAGCAGUGAAAUGCGUAGAGAUGUGGAGGAACACCAAUGGCGAAGGCAGCCCCCUGGGAUGACACUGACGCUCAUGCACGAAAGCGUGGGGAGCAAACAGGAUUAGAUACCCUGGUAGUCCACGCCCUAAACGAUGUCAACUAGUUGUCGGUCCUUAAUUGGAUUGGUAACGCAGCUAACGCGUGAAGUUGACCGCCUGGGGAGUACGGUCGCAAGAUUA